CAGAAGUGCUUUUGCCGAGUAGCGAGGGCUAUUAACGUCUUAAACACAUUUUGAAUAUUUGUUAUUUAUGUUCAGUAAAGUGCAUGUGCUGACGCAAAAGUUUUUUUUUUUACUCCACCCAAGGCUUUCAAAACUGUUUUUCAUAUACAACAAUUUAUUAUCGAAAAGUUUGACGUCAGUUGAGCCAAACGCAUCAAUGACGGUCGGAGUUGAUGAUUUUUCUCCAUGACCAGACGAUAUCAGGCAUUCGAGGCUUAUACGUUCGGAAAGGGGAGACUAUGACUAAUACUCUCUCUCUGGUGGUCAUCAUAAAUCAAUCGAAUCCAGAUGGAUCGGAGGCUGCUGACCUCGUGUGAAAAAGGGGCCUGAAAACUACAUACAACAUUAAGGCUCGAAGAUUUGGCCUUUGGGGAAAAGGAACCAAUCAUUUGCAUCCGGAAAUGGCGCGUUAAAUUUAUUCAAAAAAUUAAUAGAAAAAAGAAAGGAACAUAAUCAUUCACAGCUGGAAUAAACGGCAGUCAUGUUUUUCUA
This is a long non-coding RNA of Daphnia magna, 531 nucleotides long. RefSeq lists it as uncharacterized. The transcript is spliced from 2 exons. NCBI's taxonomy places the organism in Eukaryota, Metazoa, Arthropoda, Branchiopoda, Diplostraca, Daphniidae. The record is from RefSeq and is a predicted model, not a curated record.